Molecule: non-coding RNA, 83 nt
Organism: Cygnus atratus (black swan)
Lineage: Eukaryota; Metazoa; Chordata; Aves; Anseriformes; Anatidae
Source: the annotation of a RefSeq genome assembly
GUCAGGACGGCUGAGCGGUCUACAGCACUGUGUUCAGGUCGCAGUCUCUCCUGGAGGCGUGGGUUCAAAUCCCACUCCUGACA